Long non-coding RNA from Betta splendens (Siamese fighting fish), 438 nucleotides. RefSeq lists it as uncharacterized. The record is from RefSeq and is a predicted model, not a curated record. The transcript is spliced from 2 exons. NCBI's taxonomy places the organism in Eukaryota, Metazoa, Chordata, Actinopteri, Anabantiformes, Osphronemidae.
GGCCAGCACCGAGAAGCUGGUGAUGGCCGCCAGCUUCCACACGUCGGUCGAGUCCUCCACGUGUUUACCUGCGGACGGAAGAGGGGGGGGGACGUGAGCUGCAGCGCUGCGGGGCGCGCGGAGGGGUUUACGUCAUCGGCGCGGUUCAAAGGGUCACGGAAUGGAACUGAACCUUGGCUGCCGCUCGACCUCCGUCUAAACCCAAACCGCGCUCGAGGUGAAGCGGCGCAUGUGUUGCCGAAACCGGAGGAACGCACGAAACCGCUGAUGAGGCCGAUAAGCGCGACCUUGUUCCCGAGCAGCGAGCUCGAGCGUGACAGCACAAAGAGCCCGUUCGCGUGUUUCACCGGCUUUUUUCUUUUACUAUUUUGUCCCCUCCGUCGUGUGGAGCAUUUCAUUCCAAUCAUAAGAUGCUCGUGAGAAACAGAACGUGACAAA